Molecule: small nucleolar RNA, 138 nt
Filed under: Ornithorhynchus anatinus (platypus)
Lineage: Eukaryota; Metazoa; Chordata; Mammalia; Monotremata; Ornithorhynchidae
Source: RNAcentral
CCCCUCCCAGGGUCGCACCUGGAGAGUUUCCAGUACUUAUCCAGUCUCGACUAUGGGAGGGAGAGUCAAGCAGAGGCCUACUCAUUCCAUUCCUAGCUUGGCCAGUGGCUAGCCAGCGGAAGGCCAUCUGCUACAAGU